This 253-nucleotide ribosomal RNA is filed under the name bacterium. RNAcentral's name for it is "partial 16S ribosomal RNA". It matches the Rfam family "Bacterial small subunit ribosomal RNA", at positions 524 to 776 of the family's 1533-position model. RNAcentral also lists the same sequence under 1 other name. The record is from RNAcentral.
GACGGAGGAUGCAAGCGUUAUCCGGAUUUAUUGGGUUUAAAGGGAGCGUAGGCGGGAUAAUAAGUCAGUGGUGAAAUCUUGGGGCUCAACCCCGAAACUGCCAUUGAUACUGUUAACCUAGAGUAUAUUUGAUGUGGGCGGAAUGUGUCAUGUAGCGGUGAAAUGCUUAGAUAUGACACAGAACACCGAUUGCGUAGGCAGCUCACAAAACUAUAACUGACGCUGAGGCUCGAAAGCGUGGGGAUCAAACAGG